This 649-nucleotide ribosomal RNA is filed under the name Pseudomonas sp. RNAcentral describes it as "bacterial SSU rRNA". It matches the Rfam family "Bacterial small subunit ribosomal RNA", at positions 60 to 704 of the family's 1533-position model. The record is from RNAcentral. Lineage: Bacteria; Pseudomonadati; Pseudomonadota; Gammaproteobacteria; Pseudomonadales; Pseudomonadaceae.
AGUCGAGCGGUAGAGAGGUGCUUGCACCUCUUGAGAGCGGCGGACGGGUGAGUAAUGCCUAGGAAUCUGCCUGGUAGUGGGGGAUAACGCUCGGAAACGGACGCUAAUACCGCAUACGUCCUACGGGAGAAAGCAGGGGACCUUCGGGCCUUGCGCUAUCAGAUGAGCCUAGGUCGGAUUAGCUAGUUGGUGAGGUAAUGGCUCACCAAGGCGACGAUCCGUAACUGGUCUGAGAGGAUGAUCAGUCACACUGGAACUGAGACACGGUCCAGACUCCUACGGGAGGCAGCAGUGGGGAAUAUUGGACAAUGGGCGAAAGCCUGAUCCAGCCAUGCCGCGUGUGUGAAAAAGGUCUUCGGAUUGUAAAGCACUUUAAGUUGGGAGGAAGGGCAGUUACCUAAUACGUAUCUGUUUUGACGUUACCGACAGAAUAAGCACCGGCUAACUCUGUGCCAGCAGCCGCGGUAAUACAGAGGGUGCAAGCGUUAAUCGGAAUUACUGGGCGUAAAGCGCGCGUAGGUGGUUCGUUAAGUUGGAUGUGAAAGCCCCGGGCUCAACCUGGGAACUGCAUUCAAAACUGACGAGCUAGAGUAUGGUAGAGGGUGGUGGAAUUUCCUGUGCAGCGGUGAAAUGCGUAGAUAUAGGAAGG